CACGUUUCCUCAUUGUUUUCUUUUCAAAUCAAUUUCUCUUCAAACUUUUUCUCAGAUAAAUUGUCACUGCUUCACUGAACCCUAAAUCAACUUUGCAAAUAUACCUCACUCAUUGAACCCUAAAUCAAAUUUUCCACACCACCGCUUCACCUCUCUCUCGUACAACUCUUCUCUUCUUCUCCACGGGACACCGAACAUCUCUUCUCUCCCUCUCUCUAUGAGUUCCAAAUCGUCCAAUAAUACUGUGUUGCUGAGGUUUUUCAUCAUCAAAUCGUCCAAACCCACGGCUCCUCGAUUCAAAUCAGUUCCAACAAAGCUCCUUUUCUUCAAAGGUGUUGAUUUCAAGAUCAAAAGACUCACCGUAGGUGGAAAAAGAUUAAAACUUACAAUUUGGGACACAAGUAUGUAUAUACUAUAGUCAGAUUAGAUCUUUCGGUUCAAGAAGAAAAACCAAACUGAACCAUUAUAAUAGUUCGGUAAAACUGAAUCAAUUUGUUAACGGUUAUCCCAAACUGAACUGGUAUAAAGGUUCGGUGCAUCGAUUUUGUGGUUCCAAACCAAACUCCCUUUUUAGAAAAUCGAAUCGUAUUUUUUUCAAAUUGAACUGCUUCUUUGUGAACUGAAUUGAAUUGUUCACGAACUUAACCAAACCGAAUCGUUUCAGUUCGCUCCAAUUUGUGAACUGUCAGUCACAAUUCAGUUUAUAUGUUUUUAUAACAGUACUGACCUACCAGGUAACAAAGUAUGUAAAGAUAGAGGGAAUUAUUGAACAAGUAAUUUGAGUCCCAGACACACAUUGAAGUUCAUUGAACAAGUAAUUUAUACACAAGAGGGAAUUAUUGUACAAAUAUAUACAAUAAGAAGUUCUCUUACAAAGGUUUGUCUAAUAUUUGUCUCGAUCAAUUAGAAUUUCGUAGAUAGAGUACCAAAUGUUCAUAUUUUUUUGCUCAAAUUUCACGCAUUUCAUGCUCUUGAAUUUAAUAUAAUCAAUCUAGGUACUCAAUUGCUUUGCUCUUUGCAUAGAUUUUUGCAGGUAGAUUGUAUGUUUGAAAUAUCAAUUGACUAAUGGAGAUAGCAUCACUCAUGUAUCGAGUAGGUCUAUAGACUAUAGGUGUAUCAAUUAGCUUAUUUUAUGUUUAUUAAGUUUCUAGUUUUUUAUUUGAAUGAUUAUUUUUGUGUGUAUUGUGUUUAUCCAUUUCAGUUUUAUCUUCUUCAUGAUUUGAUUGAUUCUUCAUGGUUUUUACGAUAUUUGGUGUACUUGAAGAAAGGGAAGUUCGGCUGGAACCUCAAAUCAUACAUCGUGCCAUAUUAGUCAUGAUGAUUUUGAAGCCAUGAAUGAAUUUGAAUAAUUUAGGGGAGCUAGUUUGUUGAGAGCUUUCUAAGUUCUAUAUCAUAUCUUACUUUUUACAGAUUUCCUAUUGUGUUUAUCUUCAUAUAAACUUCCAGAAGUUUUGUAAAAGUCUUCGGAAUCAAGCAUUGUUGUAAGCACUUUUAAGCAGGAUGAAGGGCUCGAGUUAACAUUAUGAUGUGGACAUUGCAGCAAGGAGGAAGUGGACGGAACUGAAUGGCACUCCCCCCGCUCCUUCAGAUUUGUUUGUUCACACACACCAACAUCGCAAGAAUAAACUUGAGUGUGGCAGAUGAUAAUGAUGUAUGUCUGAUGAUGAUGAUCAAGUUCAUGAAGAUGAUGUGGCAGAUGAUAAAUUGAUGAUGAUGAUGAUGAUGAUGUCUGAUGAUGGUGUAGUAGUGUGGCUUACUUUAGUCUUGGUUAUGUUUUGGUUGAUUUGUAAUACUUAUUACUUAAAUAUAAAUAUAUUAUGUUCA
Trifolium pratense (red clover) is the source of this 1824-nucleotide long non-coding RNA. RefSeq lists it as uncharacterized. The transcript has 5 exons. The record is from RefSeq and is a predicted model, not a curated record. Lineage: Eukaryota; Viridiplantae; Streptophyta; Magnoliopsida; Fabales; Fabaceae.